CCCCGUGUGGCUCAGUUGGUAGAGCAUGGUGUUUGCAACGCCAGGUUUGUGGGUUCGAUUCCCACGGGGG
Molecule: transfer RNA, 70 nt
Filed under: Salmo salar (Atlantic salmon)
Lineage: Eukaryota; Metazoa; Chordata; Actinopteri; Salmoniformes; Salmonidae
Rfam family: tRNA
About the family: Transfer RNA (tRNA) molecules are approximately 80 nucleotides in length. Their secondary structure includes four short double-helical elements and three loops (D, anti-codon, and T loops). Further hydrogen bonds mediate the characteristic L-shaped molecular structure. tRNAs have two regions of fundamental functional importance: the anti-codon, which is responsible for specific mRNA codon recognition, and the 3' end, to which the tRNAs corresponding amino acid is attached (by aminoacyl-tRNA synthetases). tRNAs cope with the degeneracy of the genetic code in two manners: having more than one tRNA (with a specific anti-codon) for a particular amino acid; and 'wobble' base-pairing, i.e. permitting non-standard base-pairing at the 3rd anti-codon position.
Source: Rfam by way of RNAcentral